GAAUCCUCUAGCUCCCGUUACCGAAGCCGGGAAGACAGAGGUUCUCCAAGCAGAGUGCAUCGACGAUAGAUUGGCAGUUCCUCUGGAGACAUGAUUGGUUGGUUGAGGUUUCAGGACUUGUUAUUGUGAAUACUGUUCCAUGGUUUCUCCAGAUUGCAAUGGCCCCAGGCAUGUGAGUCAUGACCCAAUUCCUUCAAAGAUGAAUUGAGCGAGCAUGCUGUUGAUAUGGACGCCUAACUUGAAAGCUGUUGUGCCAUUGGCUCAUUCGCACUGCCACUGCCACAGCCUUGAUCGAGCCCAUGGCUCCCGCUAGGCUGAGGAAUGGAGUGG
RNAcentral lists this long non-coding RNA (330 nucleotides) under Musa acuminata (dwarf banana). RNAcentral describes it as "long non-coding RNA (MACU_LNC006161)". Lineage: Eukaryota; Viridiplantae; Streptophyta; Magnoliopsida; Zingiberales; Musaceae. The record is from RNAcentral.